RNAcentral lists this ribosomal RNA (163 nucleotides) under uncultured Chlamydiales bacterium. RNAcentral describes it as "partial 16S ribosomal RNA". It matches the Rfam family "Bacterial small subunit ribosomal RNA", at positions 347 to 503 of the family's 1533-position model. Lineage: Bacteria; Pseudomonadati; Chlamydiota; Chlamydiia; Chlamydiales. The record is from RNAcentral.
AGCUGCAGUCGAGAAUCUUUCGCAAUGGGCGAAGCCUGACGAAGCGACGCCGUGUGAGGGAUGAAGGCCUUCGGGUUGUAAAGCUCUUUCGCUUGGGAACAAGAAAGAGUGGUGAAUACCUAGUUAAUUUGAGGGUACCGGGAAAAGAAGCACCGGCUAACUC